AUGUUGUUUCAAAUGCUAGAGCACUAUGAGCGUUGCCUUGUGUCGCGAUGCUUGAACGAGGCUCUCCAAGACAUCGAGGCCUUGCAGUCCGUUCUGUUGAUAGAGGAAAAUGCUUCAAGUCUUGAGAAACACGCCACAAAAGUUUUCACUCAUGCUGUGUUUAAGUUGGUCUUAUGGAGCAUAAAUGAUGUAAGCAAAUGUUAG
RNAcentral lists this ribosomal RNA (204 nucleotides) under Triticum aestivum (bread wheat). Its description in RNAcentral is "partial small subunit ribosomal RNA". The record is from RNAcentral. Lineage: Eukaryota; Viridiplantae; Streptophyta; Magnoliopsida; Poales; Poaceae.